Molecule: long non-coding RNA, 1912 nt
Filed under: Lathyrus oleraceus (garden pea)
Lineage: Eukaryota; Viridiplantae; Streptophyta; Magnoliopsida; Fabales; Fabaceae
Description: Pisum sativum (pea) long non-coding RNA (PSAT_LNC011733)
Source: RNAcentral
CCUCGUGCAUUGGUUCUUGUUUUCAUCAUUUACCAUCAUCUGGGAAUUCAUUACAAGCCUCAAGCCAUCACUGUAGCAUCCUUUUCCACGACUGUUUCAACAACCUACAUCAAUGGCAGAUUUCGAUUUAAGCUGGAAUUGAGGUUGCUGAGCCAAAACCCUUUCUCCAUUCACCUCCUGGAGCAUUGUAGUUCAUCUGUUUUUACACAUCACAGCUAAACAACAUCCAAAUCAUCACUGUGCUUCAACUUUGGUAAGGUUUCGAGUCUCUCUAUUUCCUAAAUCAUGCCAUGCUUUAGUUAGAUUAUGCUUUUCUGGUCACAAUGAACUUUAAAUCACUAAAAAUGGUUGAGUGAUGAGUGAGUAAUCUGGCUUUAAAGUUUCAUGUUCAAAUGAGUUUCUUGUUUGAUGCUUGCUGGAUAGUUGGAUUCGAUGAAAAUGAAUGUUAGUGUUGUGGUGUGUGUUGCUUGCCUGUUCGAUUGCUAUGUUGGUUACUCAUUUCUGGAAAAUAAUUUUUGGCACGAGUUGGUUGAUGAAGAUGAUGAAGCACUGUUCCAAGAACCCUAAAAUCCAUUUUUCCAGAUUUUUGUUUUACGUGUGUUGCAUGAUUUUGUCACUAUUCCAUCGCCCAUGUCCAAUCCUUGCGUGCCACGCCCAUGACCGAUACGCACCGUUUCAUUAAAAAGUCCCAGAUAUUACCAAAUUGCCACGGCCUUGUUUUAUUUAUUUAUUUAAUUCAUUUCUUUUCAAUUUUUAUUUCAUUUGGCAUGGCUUUCUUCCAAAAAUCAUAUCUCAUCCAUUGUUAAUCCAAAAUUCAUGAGAAUUUUUGCAUUGUGUUCAUCUGGAUCUCUAGUAUUUAAUCAUGAUUUUUUCCUGAUUUUUUUGAUGAGUGGAUUUUAAUUGGUAUUAGGGUUUUGUUCAUGUGCUCAUAUUUUGUACCCUUUGCCAAAACAUUUGUGAAAUGAUGAUACAUUAUCCAAUGGCCUUGAAAUUUUUUGUGCAUAAACUAGACACAUUCAUGGUGAUUUUGGUAUAGAGUUUGUGAAUUUAUCUUAUCUGGUUUGUGAGUUAUGAUUUUUUGAAGUAGGGUGUGACAAUUUAUGUCACACCAUUGAUGUGCAACUUGAUGAUUUUCAAUACCAUGCCUCUUGACCUCAAAAUGCUUUGUUUUUUUGCAUGAAUUAACUUGAGUAUGUCUAGUUUACAUGUGAUUUUUCUUGGAAUUAUUUGUGGCAUUUUCCAUUUGUUUGAUAUUUUUCUCCCCUGUUUGGUCAUAUGUUGACUUUUUGUGACACACCAUGCCAUUUCAUUUGUGAAAUUCUCAUACUUUAUUGGAUAAACUUGAAAUUUGACAUGUGAUUAGUAGACAUCUUAAGCUUUGCCAUGGUGUUGAUCCCGUUCAUUUCUCAUAUGUUGUCACUGAUUUAUGAAUUUUUGAAGUUGAUGCAUGUUUGGUUUACUUCUUUGAGCAUGCUUGAAAUUGUUUUGACUUUCUGAUUUUCAUUGACUAUCUUCCCAUGAUCCAAUUGAGCUGAAAUUUUAUAUGCAUGUCAUGUUAUGGAUUAUGAUUGAUCAUGAAUUAUUUGAUGAUUUUUGGAAUUGUUUAUGAUUGGUUUUGAGUUAAGUCUUGCUGUUGACUUCUAUGAGCUUUCAUUUGCCAUGCUUGGACUUCUUUUGCUUAUGAAAUGAUGAUGAUGCAUGAUAUGAACAUGAAACCAAUUGAGUUUGCUUCUCAAAUGUUUGAAUUUGAUUUUGAUUGGAUAUCACUUGCUGUUUUGACUUUCUCAUCCUCUUUUGACCCUAGGCUUGCCCUAGUGGUCUUAUUGCUUAUGUUUGAGUUCAUGUUUUCAGGUUGAGAAGCAAUUGCCUCAAAGAAACUUAUACAAGUUGAAUGAGUUUAUUUGAUUAUCAU